RNAcentral lists this ribosomal RNA (229 nucleotides) under uncultured bacterium. RNAcentral's name for it is "partial 16S ribosomal RNA". It matches the Rfam family "Bacterial small subunit ribosomal RNA", at positions 568 to 796 of the family's 1533-position model. The record is from RNAcentral.
UGCGUAGGCGGGCUAAUAAGUCAGUGGUGAAAUCUUUCGGCUCAACCGAGAAACUGCCAUUGAUACUGUUAGUCUUGAGUUCGGUUGAGGUAGGCGGAAUGUGUAAUGUAGCGGUGAAAUGCUUAGAUAUUACACAGAACACCAAUUGCGUAGGCAGCUUACUAGACCGACACUGACGCUGAGGCACGAAAGCGUGGGGAGCGAACAGGAUUAGAUACCCUGGUAGUCC